GUUAGAAUGCCAGCCUGUCACGCUGGAGGUCGUGGGUUCGAUCCCCAUCCGGAUCGCCA
Molecule: transfer RNA, 59 nt
Filed under: Peptostreptococcaceae bacterium AS15
Lineage: Bacteria; Bacillati; Bacillota; Clostridia; Peptostreptococcales; Peptostreptococcaceae
Description: tRNA-Asp
Rfam family: tRNA
About the family: Transfer RNA (tRNA) molecules are approximately 80 nucleotides in length. Their secondary structure includes four short double-helical elements and three loops (D, anti-codon, and T loops).
Source: RNAcentral